RNAcentral lists this transfer RNA (65 nucleotides) under Acroneuria hainana. Its description in RNAcentral is "tRNA-Tyr". It matches the Rfam family "tRNA". Rfam says of the family: Transfer RNA (tRNA) molecules are approximately 80 nucleotides in length. Their secondary structure includes four short double-helical elements and three loops (D, anti-codon, and T loops). The record is from RNAcentral. Lineage: Eukaryota; Metazoa; Arthropoda; Insecta; Plecoptera; Perlidae.
GGUAGGAUGGCUGAGUUAUAGGCGUUAGAUUGUAAAUCUAUUUACGGGGGUUUCCUCUCGUACCG